AAAACUAGUCACCGAAGCUGCGGAUGUGCGCGAAAGCGCACGUGGUAGGGGAGCGUUCUGUAGGCUGAUGAAGGUGCAUUGAGAAGUGUGCUGGAGGUAUCAGAAGUGCGAAUGCUGACAUGAGUAACGAUAAUGUGGGUGAAAAGCCCACACGCCGGAAGUCCCAGGUUUCCUGCACGACGUUAAUCGGAGCAGGGUGAGUCGGCCCCUAAGGCGAGGCUGAAGAGCGUAGUCGAUGGGAACCAGGUUAAUAUUCCUGGACUUUUUAUAAGUGGUGAAGUGGGGACGAAGAAGGCUAGGUGAGCCAGGCGUUGGUUGUCCUGGUACUUGCAUGUAGGGGGGAAGACUUGGCAAAUCCGGUUUUCCAUAACUCUGAGGUGCGAAGUGGUUCUGACCUUUUGGUACAGAGAAGUCAUUGAUGCCCGGCUUCCAGGAAAAGCUGCUAGCCAUAACUUAUAGAGAACCGUACCGCAAACCGACACAGGUGGACAGGUAGAGAAUACUAAGGCGCUUGAGAGAACUCGGGUGAAGGAACUAGGCAAAAUGGUACCGUAACUUCGGGAGAAGGUACGCCCUUUUGGGUGAGGGCAUUUACUGUCUGAGCUUAAGAGGGCCGCAGAGACCAGGUGGCUGCGACUGUUUAUUAAAAACACAGCACUCUGCAAAUUCGUAAGAAGACGUAUAGGGUGUGACGCCUGCCCGGUGCCGGAAGGUUAAUUGAUGGGGUUAUCUUCGGAGAAGCUCUUGAUCGAAGCCCCGGUAAACGGCGGCCGUAACUAUAACGGUCCUAAGGUAGCGAAAUUCCUUGUCGGGUAAGUUCCGACCUGCACGAAUGGCGUAACGAUGGCCACACUGUCUCCACCCGAGACUCAGUGAAAUUGAAAUCGCUGUGAAGAUGCAGUGUACCCGCGGCUAGACGGAAAGACCCCGUGAACCUUUACUAUAGUUUUGCACUGGACUUUGAUGAUGACUGUGUAGGAUAGGUGGGAGGCUGUGAAGUGAGGACGCUAGUUCUCAUGGAGCCGCCCUUGAAAUACCACCCUGUUGUUAUUGAGGUUCUAACUUGGUCCAGUAAUCCUGGAUGAGGACAGUGUAUGAUGGGUAGUUUGACUGGGGCGGUCUCCUCCCAAAGAGUAACGGAGGAGCACAAAGGUACCCUCGGUACGGUCGGACAUCGUACCAAGAGUGUAAAGGCAAAAGGGUGCUUGACUGCGAGAGUGACGGCUCGAGCAGGAACGAAAGUUGGUCUUAGUGAUCCGGUGGUUCUGAAUGGAAGGGCCAUCGCUCAACGGAUAAAAGGUACUCCGGGGAUAACAGGCUGAUACCGCCCAAGAGUUCAUAUCGACGGCGGUGUUUGGCACCUCGAUGUCGGCUCAUCACAUCCUGGGGCUGAAGCAGGUCCCAAGGGUAUGGCUGUUCGCCAUUUAAAGUGGUACGCGAGCUGGGUUUAGAACGUCGUGAGACAGUUCGGUCCCUAUCUGCCGUGGGCGUAGGAAAAUUGAGAGGAGCUGCUCCUAGUACGAGAGGACCGGAGUGGACGAACCUCUGGUGCACCGGUUGUCACGCCAGUGGCAUGGCCGGGUAGCUAAGUUCGGACGGGAUAACCGCUGAAAGCAUCUAAGCGGGAAGCCUCCCUCAAGAUGAGUUUUCCCAUGAAGCCCGUUGAAGACUACGACGUUGAUAGGCAAGGUGUGGAAGCGCAGUAAUGCGUGAAGCUAACUUGUACUAAUUGGCUGAUUGUCUUGACCAU
RNAcentral lists this ribosomal RNA (1750 nucleotides) under Legionella pneumophila. RNAcentral's name for it is "partial 23S ribosomal RNA". It matches the Rfam family "Bacterial large subunit ribosomal RNA", at positions 1183 to 2925 of the family's 2925-position model. Lineage: Bacteria; Pseudomonadati; Pseudomonadota; Gammaproteobacteria; Legionellales; Legionellaceae. The record is from RNAcentral.